Paramuricea clavata is the source of this 88-nucleotide non-coding RNA. Lineage: Eukaryota; Metazoa; Cnidaria; Anthozoa; Malacalcyonacea; Plexauridae. The record is from the annotation of a GenBank genome assembly.
UCUAAGGAAAUACAAAAUAACAGUACCUCCGAAUAACAUUUUGAUUAAAAAUCAAAUCGGAGAUACUGUUAUUUUGUAUUUUCUUAAA